This 85-nucleotide transfer RNA is filed under the name Felis catus (domestic cat). It matches the Rfam family "tRNA". From Rfam's summary of the family: Transfer RNA (tRNA) molecules are approximately 80 nucleotides in length. Their secondary structure includes four short double-helical elements and three loops (D, anti-codon, and T loops). The record is from Rfam by way of RNAcentral. RNAcentral also lists the same sequence under 2 other names. Lineage: Eukaryota; Metazoa; Chordata; Mammalia; Carnivora; Felidae.
GCCUGAGUGGCUCAGUCAAUUAAGCAUCUGACUUCCACUCAGGUCAGGAUAUCUCGAUUCGUGAGUUCAAGCCCCGCAUCAGGCU